GUCCUGUAAGUGAAACGAGAAGACCACGAGUUAUGAUCCAGAGUACCACGAGACACGUGAAACCUUGUGGGAAGCAGGGAGGACCACCUCCCAAGGCUAAAUACUACCUGAUGACCGAUAGUGAAGCAGUACCGUGAGGGAAAGGUGAAAAGAACCCCGGGAGGGGAGUGAAAUAGAACCUGAAACCGUGUGCCUACAACCGCUCAGAGCCCCUUAUGAGGGUGAUGAGGUGCUUUUUGUAGAACGAGCCAACGAGUUACGGUAUGUAGCAAGGUUAAGUACUUAAGGUACGGAGCCGAAGGGAAACCGAGUCUGAAUAGGGCGACUAGUUGCAUGCCGUAGACCCGAAACCGGGUGACCUAUCCAUGGCCAGGUUGAAGCGAGGGUAAAACCUCGUGGAGGACCGAACCACGUUGCUGUUGAAAAAGCAUGGGAUGAGCUGUGGAUAGCGGAGAAAUUCCAAUCGAACCCGGAGAUAGCUGGUUCUCUCCGAAAUAGCUUUAGGGCUAGCGUCGAGUAUGAGUAGUGGAGGUAGAGCACUGAAUGGGCUAGGGGGCAUAGCGCUUACCGAACCUUAUCAAACUCCGAAUGCCACAUACUUUGAGCUCGGCAGUCAGACUACGAAUGAUAAGAUCCGUGGUCAAAAGGGAAACAGCCCAGAUCGUCAGCUAAGGUCCCAAAGUGUAAGUUAAGUGGGAAAGGAUGUGAGAUUUCUAAGACAACUAGGAUGUUGGCUUAGAAGCAGCCAUUCAUUAAAAGAGUGCGUAAUAGCUCACUAGUCGAGAGAUCUUGCGCCGAAAAUGUAACGGGGCUAAACUUACC
Molecule: ribosomal RNA, 822 nt
Filed under: Clostridium perfringens
Lineage: Bacteria; Bacillati; Bacillota; Clostridia; Eubacteriales; Clostridiaceae
Description: partial 23S ribosomal RNA
Rfam family: Bacterial large subunit ribosomal RNA
Source: RNAcentral